UAGGGAAUCUUCGGCAAUGGACGAAAGUCUGACCGAGCAACGCCGCGUGAGUGAAGAAGGUUUUCGGAUCGUAAAACUCUGUUGUUAGAGAAGAACAAGGACGUUAGUAACUGAACGUCCCCUGACGGUAUCUAACCAGAAAGCCACGGCUAACUACGUGCCAGCAGCCGCGGUAAUACGUAGGUGGCAAGCGUUGUCCGGAUUUAUUGGGCGUAAAGCGAGCGCAGGCGGUUUCUUAAGUCUGAUGUGAAAGCCCCCGGCUCAACCGGGGAGGGUCAUUGGAAACUGGGAGACUGGAGUGCAGAAGAGGAGAGUGGAAUUCCAUGUGUAGCGGUGAAAUGCGUAGAUAUAUGGAGGAACACCAGUGGCGAAGGCGGCUCGCUGAUCUGUAACUGACGCUGAGGCUCGAAAGCGUGGGGAGCAAACAGG
Molecule: ribosomal RNA, 429 nt
Filed under: Gemmatimonadota bacterium
Lineage: Bacteria; Pseudomonadati; Gemmatimonadota
Description: Gemmatimonadetes bacterium partial 16S ribosomal RNA
Rfam family: Bacterial small subunit ribosomal RNA
Source: RNAcentral